GCCUUCGUGGUGUAACGGUUAGCACACUCGGCGUGUAUUCGAGAGGUCCAGGUUCAAGUCCCGGCGCGGGCA
Molecule: transfer RNA, 72 nt
Filed under: Stegodyphus mimosarum
Lineage: Eukaryota; Metazoa; Arthropoda; Arachnida; Araneae; Eresidae
Rfam family: tRNA
About the family: Transfer RNA (tRNA) molecules are approximately 80 nucleotides in length.
Source: Rfam by way of RNAcentral